AAAUAAUGAGAAAUUGGAAAAUUGGAAAAUUGGAUGACACAUGGAAAAUAGGAAAAUAUGAAUAAUGGAAAAAUGGAAACGAAUUGAGAUUGCUGAAAUGAGAAAUAAGACAAUAACCAUAUUGGUCAAUUUGAAUGAGUUGGUCAAUUAGGCAAAUAGGCAAAUCCCUUAUUUGAAUUAAAUAAUGGGAAAAUGACCAAGUUCGGAAGGUCCAACAUACAACUAUAUUACAAAAAGGCAUACAGUGAACUGGCUAAUAACUCCCGCCCAAUACUAUCCCGCCUAAGACUCCCGCCAAUCCCUCCAGCCAAUUACUCCCCCUAAUCCUCCCGCCAAUAACUCUCUGAGUUACUCCAGGUCAUUAAAACCUGCCUAUAUUAAUCAACCCAGCUAUUUGAAAUGAAAACUUCCAUCACAUUAACUCCUGCUUGCAGCCAUUAUCUUCCCCACUGAUUUCACUCACAUCGCAUUUAGUCCCCCUUUUUUCCAAUUAAGUUGUACACCAGGCUACAAUAAAUAUCGAAGACCAUGGACCAUAACCUCACACCAAACCCAACGCUUUCAAUUACUGAAGGAGGGGAGACUGAAACACAAGCCAAGUCACCUAAUUCACU
RNAcentral lists this long non-coding RNA (614 nucleotides) under Prunus persica (peach). RNAcentral describes it as "long non-coding RNA (PPER_LNC001720)". The record is from RNAcentral. Lineage: Eukaryota; Viridiplantae; Streptophyta; Magnoliopsida; Rosales; Rosaceae.